AUGGGCCCCACCUGGCCAGGCUGUGCAGAGCUGCUCCUGGACGAGAGCUGUGCCGAGGCCCAGGACGGGGAGCUGGACGGGCUGUGGACCACCAUCUCCAUCUUCAUCACCCUCUUCCUGCUCAGCGUGUGUUACAGCGCCACCGUCACGCUCUUCAAGCCAGCAUCCAGCCCAGCGGGCCCCCCUGGGCCUGCACCCCCACCCUCUGGCCUCACGGCCAUCACAGGCUGCGUCCCGCCCGGGACCUGCCCCUUUGGAGAACCGAGUGGACAGCAGGUUCUGCUCCAACCUGAGCUGACGGACACCCGCCAGCCCCUCCACGCAGCCACCAAGAUAGGCCUGGCGAAGGCAGGCGGGGUCACUGCUGAGGGCGGGCCUGAAGCGGGCUCCCUCGGGCGGUCAGCAGGGAAGCCUGGCUGGUCAGUGAGAGCCUCCAUGCAUGGCCCAGCCGUCUUCCUCUUGGCCCCCUGCUCCAGAGGCACCGCCGGGGGGGUCGCCUCCGUGACACUGGGCUGCCUGGUCAAGGACUACAUCCCAGAGCCCGUGACCGUGACCUGGGACGCGGGGUCCCUGAAUACGAGCGUCGUGACCCUCCCCGCCGUCUUCAACUUGAACUCCAGCCGCUACACCACCAGCAGCUACAUGACCGCCUCUGGCGAAUGGGCCAAACAGACGUUCACCUGCAACGUGAAGCACCCCGGGUCUGAUCCCAUCAACAAGACCAUAGACAUAGACCUUGCGCCAGCGUGCGCCACGAACGUCACCCAGCCCACGGUGAGGCUCUACCACUCGUCCUGCGACCCCAGCGGCGACACCCACGCCACCAUCCAGCUGCUGUGCCUCAUCACCGACUUCACCCCGGGCGACCUCAAGGUCACCUGGCUGGUGGACAAUCAGAGGAGCGAGAACCUGUUCCCGACGACCGACCCCCCUCGGCAGGAGGGCGCGCUGGCCUCCACCUCCAGCCGGCUCAACAUCAGCCAGGGGGAGUGGGUGUCCCAGAGAACCUACGCCUGCCAGGUCAGCCUGCACGGCUGCACCGUUAAGGCCCAAGCCCGCACCUGCCCAGAGUCCGAGCCCCGUGGCGUGAGCGUCUACCUGAUCCCGCCCAGCCCCCUGGACCUGUACGUCCACAAGUCGCCCAAGGUGUCCUGCCUGGUGGUGGACCUGGCCAGCCUGCAGGGCAUGAGUCUGCAGUGGUCCCGGAAGAGCGGGGCCCCCAUAACCGGGGCCACCCAGAUCAGCAAGCAACACUUCAACAUGACCUACUCCGUCACGUCCACCCUGCCCGGUGCAGUGGCUGCAGGACGCCGCCUGAAGGUCCCCCGGGCCGACUGGAAGAAGAGGAGCAGGUUCACCUGCCAAGUGACCCACGAGGCUCUGCCCGGCUCACGGACCCUCGAGCGAUCAGUGUCCAAAGACCCUGAGCUGGACCUGCAGGACCUGUGCGUGGGGGCGGCCGAGGGUGAGGAGCUGGACGGACUGUGGAGCAGCCUCUUCGUCUUCAUCGCGCUCUUCCUGCUCAGCGUGACCUAUGGCGCCUCCGUCACCCUCUUCAAGGUGAAGUGGGUCUUGAGCUCGGUCCUGCCGGGGCCGCCCCAGGCCACCCACGACUACGAGAACAUCGAGGACCCCGCGUGGCCAGUGGCCUGGGAUGUGGAGGCUGAGAAGCCCCUCUGGGGAGAGGCCCUGGGACUGUGUGGGGCUGUGGGCAGGGAGGAGAAGGACUCCCAGGAGCAGAGAAGGGGACCCAUAGCGAGCCCCACCAGCCCCACGCUCUUCCCACUGAGCCUCAGUAGCACCGACUCAGCUGGUCACGUGGUCAUCGGCUGCCUGGUCCAGGACUUCUUCCCAUCGGCGCCCGUGAACGUGACCUGGGGCAGCAGCGGGCCGGGCACCUCCAUCCGGAACUUUCUCCCCGCCCCCACCUCCCGGGGCCUGUACACCAUGGUCAGCCAGCUGACCCUGCCGGCCGACCAGUGCCCAGAUGGCGCGACCCAGAGUUGCCACGUGCAGCACAACUCCAGCCCCAGCAAGACCAAGAACGUGCCCUGCAAAGUUAAGACACCCACAUGCCCGAACUGCCAGCCCCGCCUGACCCUGAGCCCGCCAGCCCUCGAGGACCUGCUCCUGGGCUCCAACGCCAACCUCACGUGCACGCUGAGUGGCCUGAAGAAGCCCGAGGGCGCCAGCUUCAGCUGGAACCCCACGGGCGGGAAGGAUGCCAUCCAGGAGGCCGCGCAGCCUGAUGCCUGCGGCUGCUACAGGGACCUGGCCUUCGGCUACCUCUGUUCCCAGGGCCAAGGUGGGGUAAGAGCUCCCAACAACCCUGCCCACUGCUCCCCUCUCAAGGGUCCAGUCACCCAAGGGCAGUAG
This is a non-coding RNA of Myotis brandtii (Brandt's bat), 2376 nucleotides long. NCBI's taxonomy places the organism in Eukaryota, Metazoa, Chordata, Mammalia, Chiroptera, Vespertilionidae. The record is from the annotation of a RefSeq genome assembly.